Molecule: ribosomal RNA, 712 nt
Filed under: Staphylococcus pasteuri
Lineage: Bacteria; Bacillati; Bacillota; Bacilli; Caryophanales; Staphylococcaceae
Description: bacterial SSU rRNA
Rfam family: Bacterial small subunit ribosomal RNA
Source: RNAcentral
GAGCGAACAGAUAAGGAGCUUGCUCCUUUGACGUUAGCGGCGGACGGGUGAGUAACACGUGGAUAACCUACCUAUAAGACUGGGAUAACUUCGGGAAACCGGAGCUAAUACCGGAUAAGAUUUUGAACCGCAUGGUUCAAUAGUGAAAGACGGCCUUGCUGUCACUUAUAGAUGGAUCCGCGCCGUAUUAGCUAGUUGGUAAGGUAACGGCUUACCAAGGCAACGAUACGUAGCCGACCUGAGAGGGUGAUCGGCCACACUGGAACUGAGACACGGUCCAGACUCCUACGGGAGGCAGCAGUAGGGAAUCUUCCGCAAUGGGCGAAAGCCUGACGGAGCAACGCCGCGUGAGUGAUGAAGGUCUUCGGAUCGUAAAACUCUGUUAUCAGGGAAGAACAAACGUGUAAGUAACUGUGCACGUCUUGACGGUACCUGAUCAGAAAGCCACGGCUAACUACGUGCCAGCAGCCGCGGUAAUACGUAGGUGGCAAGCGUUAUCCGGAAUUAUUGGGCGUAAAGCGCGCGUAGGCGGUUUUUUAAGUCUGAUGUGAAAGCCCACGGCUCAACCGUGGAGGGUCAUUGGAAACUGGAAAACUUGAGUGCAGAAGAGGAAAGUGGAAUUCCAUGUGUAGCGGUGAAAUGCGCAGAGAUAUGGAGGAACACCAGUGGCGAAGGCGACUUUCUGGUCUGUAACUGACGCUGAUGUGCGAAA